This 254-nucleotide unclassified non-coding RNA is filed under the name Hevea brasiliensis (rubber tree). Lineage: Eukaryota; Viridiplantae; Streptophyta; Magnoliopsida; Malpighiales; Euphorbiaceae. The record is from RNAcentral.
AUGCAUGAAUUAUAUUGUAAAAUCUUUUGAAUUGAAUAAAUUUUAGCAUAAGAGUUGUCCAAAUGGGGUGGAAAUACUACAUGCAUGAUUUACUAUAUGUUAUGAUGAUUUACUCUCACUGAAAAUGACAAGCAUAAGAAACGUGUAUGCAAGCAAGCAAUGGUUUGCACCCGCAAACUUGCAUACCCACAAUUUGACUUCAUUUGCAUUCAUACCCUCAAACGUGCAUAUUGCUGUGAUUGUAGACAUUGCAA